UCGGGAACUGGAGAGUGGCGCACGGGUGAGUAACGCGUGGGGACCUACCUCUUAGUGGGGGAUAACGGUUGGAAACGACCGCUAAUACCGCAUACGCCCUUCGGGGGAAAGAUUUAUCGCUAAGAGAUGGACCCGCGUUGGAUUAGAUAGUUGGUGAGGUAACGGCUCACCAAGUCAGCGAUCCAUAGCUGGUUUGAGAGGAUGAUCAGCCACACUGGGACUGAGACACGGCCCAGACUCCUACGGGAGGCAGCAGUGGGGAAUAUUGGACAAUGGGCGGAAGCCUGAUCCAGCCAUGCCGCGUGAGUGAAGAAGGCCUUCGGGUUGUAAAGCUCUUUCAGAUGCGAAGAUGAUGACGGUAACAUCAGAAGAAGCCCCGGCUAAUUUCGUGCCAGCAGCCGCGGUAAUACGAAAGGGGCAAGCGUUGUUCGGAUUUACUGGGCGUAAAGGGCACGCAGGCGGUCUUGCCAGUCAGGGGUGAAAGCCCGGGGCUCAACCCCGGAACUGCCUCUAAUACUGCAGGACUAGAGACUAGGAGAGGGUGGUGGAAUUCCCAGUGUAGAGGUGAAAUUCGUAGAUAUUGGGAGGAACACCAGAGGCGAAAGCGGCCACCUGGACUAGAUCUGACGCUCACGUGCGAAAGCGUGGGGAGCAAACAG
RNAcentral lists this ribosomal RNA (659 nucleotides) under uncultured bacterium. RNAcentral describes it as "bacterial SSU rRNA". It matches the Rfam family "Bacterial small subunit ribosomal RNA", at positions 81 to 775 of the family's 1533-position model. The record is from RNAcentral.